GGAGGCUGCUGGCACAUUCCCUGCAUAGCAUUUAUGGAUUGCCUGCGUGAAUAAUCCUCAACUCCAAUGAGCAUGGUGAAUAUGAGCAGAAGGAACUAGGUGUAUGUUUAAGGAUAGCCUCAUAGAAUUCUAGAGAUGAAAGCUGAAGAAAUUUUCCUGAAAAGGAUUGGGAGCCAGAAUCCAGACCUUGGGAAAUGUGAAUGUUCCAACAUGGCCGACCAUCAUGGAAUGAGAUCAGCAGAUCGGAAUAGCAGCCUUCAUCUUCUUCAUCUUGGUCCUGAGGCUCCAUCGGCCAGGUUUCCAGCACACGUUAAGCCCAGAUAUAACAACCACACAACCCAGGUUUUCCAGUCUUCAUUUCAAAAGUGUCCCUUUGUCUCUGUCUAUAUCUGGUUGGUCAGCUGUCUUGAUAGUUGGAUUGAGAUCCAAAGUUACUAUAAAACUAGGGAACCUGGUUUAAUAUCUUCAUUACCCGAAUUCUUGG
This 484-nucleotide long non-coding RNA is filed under the name Aotus nancymaae (Ma's night monkey). RNAcentral's name for it is "lncRNA (ENSANAG00000039016.1)". The record is from RNAcentral. Lineage: Eukaryota; Metazoa; Chordata; Mammalia; Primates; Aotidae.